Molecule: ribosomal RNA, 433 nt
Filed under: uncultured bacterium
Lineage: Bacteria
Description: partial 16S ribosomal RNA
Rfam family: Bacterial small subunit ribosomal RNA
Source: RNAcentral
AACGAACGCUGGCGGCAUGCCUAGCACAUGCAAGUCGAACGAGACCUUCGGGUCUAGUGGCGCACGGGUGCGUAACGCGUGGGAACCUGCCCUUAGGUUCGGAAUAACUCCCCGUAAGGGGUGCUAAUACCGGAUAAGGUCUUCGGACCAAAGAUUUAUCGCCUUUGGCUGGGCCCGCGUUGGCUUAGCUAGUUGGUAGGGUAAAAGCCUACCAAGGCGACGUUGCAUAGCUGGUCUGAGAGGAUGAUCAGCCACACUGGGCAUGAGACACGGCCCAGACUCCUACGGGACGCAGCAGUGGGGAAUAUUGGAGAAUGGGCGAAAGCCUGAUCCAGCAAUGCCGCGUGAGUGAUGAAGGCCUUAGGGUUGUAAAGCUCUUUUACACGGGAUGAUAAUGACAGUACCGGGAGAAUAAGCUCCGGCUAACUCCGUG